RNAcentral lists this non-coding RNA (25 nucleotides) under Mus musculus (house mouse). The record is from RNAcentral. Lineage: Eukaryota; Metazoa; Chordata; Mammalia; Rodentia; Muridae.
UGCAAGAACAUGAGAGGGGGUGCAC